Molecule: ribosomal RNA, 898 nt
Filed under: uncultured bacterium
Lineage: Bacteria
Description: bacterial SSU rRNA
Rfam family: Bacterial small subunit ribosomal RNA
Source: RNAcentral
UCAACCCGCGGACGGCACAUGAUACUGCGAGACUAGAGUAAUGGAGGGGGAACCGGAAUUCUCGGUGUAGCAGUGAAAUGCGUAGAUAUCGAGAGGAACACUCGUGGCGAAGGCGGGUUCCUGGACAUUAACUGACGCUGAGGCACGAAGGCCAGGGGAGCGAAAGGGAUUAGAUACCCCUGUAGUCCUGGCAGUAAACGGUGCACGCUUGGUGUGCGGGGAAUCGACCCCCUGCGUGCCGGAGCUAACGCGUUAAGCGUGCCGCCUGGGGAGUACGGUCGCAAGAUUAAAACUCAAAGAAAUUGACGGGGACCCGCACAAGCGGUGGAGUAUGUGGCUUAAUUCGAUGCAACGCGAAGAACCUUACCUGGGCUUGACAUGUAAUGAACAACAUGUGAAAGCAUGCGACUCUUCGGAGGCGUUACACAGGUGCUGCAUGGCCGUCGUCAGCUCGUGUCGUGAGAUGUUUGGUUAAGUCCAGCAACGAGCGCAACCCCUGUUGCCAGUUACCAGCACGUGAAGGUGGGGACUCUGGCGAGACUGCCCAGAUCAACUGGGAGGAAGGUGGGGACGACGUCAGGUCAGUAUGGCCCUUAUGCCCAGGGCUGCACACGUACUACAAUGCCCAGUACAGAGGGGGCCGAAGCCGCGAGGCGGAGGAAAUCCUGAAAACUGGGCCCAGUUCGGACUGUAGGCUGCAACCCGCCUACACGAAGCCGGAAUCGCUAGUAAUGGCGCAUCAGCUACGGCGCCGUGAAUACGUUCCCGGGUCUUGUACACACCGCCCGUCACAUCAUGGAAGCCGGUCGCACCCGAAGUAUCUGAAGCCAACCGCAAGGAGGCAGGGUCCUAAGGUGAGACUGGUAACUGGGAUGAAGUCGUAACAAGGUAGCCGUAA